UACGUAGGUGGCAAGCGUUGUCCGGAAUUACUGGGCGUAAAGGGCGUGUAGGCGGCCUUUUAAGUCAGACGUGAAAACCCUGGGCUUAACCCAGGAACUGCGUUUGAAACUGGAAGGCUUGAGGACCGGAGAGGGUAGUGGAAUUCCCAGUGUAGCGGUGAAAUGCGUUGAUAUCCACAGGACCUCCGGUGGCGAAGGCGGCACGCUGGACCCGCCCUGACGCUGAGGCGCGAAAGCCAGGGGAGCGAACGGG
RNAcentral lists this ribosomal RNA (253 nucleotides) under uncultured bacterium. Its description in RNAcentral is "partial 16S ribosomal RNA". It matches the Rfam family "Bacterial small subunit ribosomal RNA", at positions 524 to 776 of the family's 1533-position model. The record is from RNAcentral.